This is a long non-coding RNA of Harpia harpyja (harpy eagle), 642 nucleotides long. RefSeq lists it as uncharacterized. The record is from RefSeq and is a predicted model, not a curated record. The transcript is spliced from 3 exons. Lineage: Eukaryota; Metazoa; Chordata; Aves; Accipitriformes; Accipitridae.
AACGUCAUGCUCUUUGCUCUGCACCCCCCCCCCCCGCCCGCCCCCAAGAGUGUAACCACAGCUAAGCAGCCGCUUCUAAGAUUGUUAAACUCUGCAUAACAGCUACAAAAAUCCCGAGCAGUUUUCCCAGCCGGACGGACGCCCGACCGCCUUUCCAACUCCGCGGCACUAACAGUCCGCGCCGACUUCCAGAACCAGCCAGCUCCCGGCUCUUUCACAACCGAGCCGGGGCAGCCCGGGGACCCGCACUUCUGCCGGGCACCGCGGGCAAGGUCCCGGUUUAACCGAACCCACAGCGGCGGGGAGAGGACGAAGCGCAGGGCGCAGGUAUGGCCAAAUGCAGGCUGCAUCUUACUGUGAUUUUGGCUUAGAAAAAUAGAAACAUCAUCGUUCCAAGGGACAGGAUCAAGAGAUGGUGUGCCUGUCAAAGGAAUUAUUUUCCACAAGAUGAAUUUGCUGAUUACAUUUGAUUUGCCAGAAGAACACUAAGAAAAAUAAGUCAGUUUAUAACAUUACACAUUGAGGAACCUUCUGACUUUCUAGAACUAUAUUUUUUUCGCAAAGCUUAAUUCUAGCUUUCCUUUCUGAUUUACAGAACUAAAAGUUGCUUAAAGCAGUUUCCCAAGUAGCUAUCCUUCAACA